This 393-nucleotide ribosomal RNA is filed under the name uncultured bacterium. RNAcentral describes it as "partial 16S ribosomal RNA". It matches the Rfam family "Bacterial small subunit ribosomal RNA", at positions 523 to 918 of the family's 1533-position model. The record is from RNAcentral.
AUACGGAGGAUGCGAGCGUUAUCCGGAUUUAUUGGGUUUAAAGGGUGCGUAGGCUGUGCGUUAAGUCAGGGGUGAAAUGCCGUCGCUCAACGACGGAGCUGCCCUUGAUACUGGCGUGCUGGAGUACGGAUGCCGUUGGAGGAAUGAGUGGUGUAGCGGUGAAAUGCUUAGAUAUCACUCAGAACACCGAUUGCGAAGGCAUCUGACGAAUCCGUCACUGACGCUGAGGCACGAAAGCGUGGGGAUAGAACAGGAUUAGAUACCCUGGUAUUCCACGCCGUAAACGAUGAUGACUAACCGUCGGCGAUAGACAGCCGGUGGCCAAGCGAAAGCGAUAAGUCAUCCACCUGGGGAGUACGUCGGCAACGAUGAAACUCGAAUGAAUUGACGGGG